UGGGGUGUAGCUCAAUGGUAGAGCACAUGCCUUGAAUGCACAAGGCCCUGGAUUCGAUUCCCAGCACAACAA
Molecule: transfer RNA, 72 nt
Filed under: Rattus norvegicus (Norway rat)
Lineage: Eukaryota; Metazoa; Chordata; Mammalia; Rodentia; Muridae
Rfam family: tRNA
About the family: Transfer RNA (tRNA) molecules are approximately 80 nucleotides in length. Their secondary structure includes four short double-helical elements and three loops (D, anti-codon, and T loops).
Source: Rfam by way of RNAcentral